RNAcentral lists this ribosomal RNA (468 nucleotides) under uncultured bacterium. Its description in RNAcentral is "partial 16S ribosomal RNA". It matches the Rfam family "Bacterial small subunit ribosomal RNA", at positions 28 to 507 of the family's 1533-position model. The record is from RNAcentral.
GACGAACGCUGGCGGCGUGCUUAACACAUGCAAGUCGAACGGAAAGGCCCUGCUUUUGUGGGGUGCUCGAGUGGCGAACGGGUGAGUAACACGUGAGUAACCUGCCCUUGACUUUGGGAUAACUUCAGGAAACUGGGGCUAAUACCGGAUAGGAGCUCCUGCUGCAUGGUGGGGGUUGGAAAGUUUCGGCGGUUGGGGAUGGACUCGCGGCUUAUCAGCUUGUUGGUGGGGUAGUGGCUUACCAAGGCUUUGACGGGUAGCCGGCCUGAGAGGGUGACCGGCCACAUUGGGACUGAGAGACGGCCCAGACUCGUACGUGAGGCAGAAGUGGAGAAUAUUGCACAAGGAGCGGAAGCCUGAUGCAGCAACGCCGCGUGCGGGAUGACGGCCUACUGGUUGUAAACCGCUUUCGCCUGUAACGAAGCGUGAGUGACGGUAAUGGGUAAAGAAGCACCGGCUAACUACGUG